RNAcentral lists this unclassified non-coding RNA (156 nucleotides) under uncultured Capnodiales. RNAcentral's name for it is "sequence contains ITS2". The record is from RNAcentral. Lineage: Eukaryota; Fungi; Ascomycota; Dothideomycetes; Capnodiales.
CACCACUCCAGCCUCGCUGGGUAUUGGGCGUCUUCGCGCGGGAGCAAUCCCCCGCGCGCCUCAAAGUCUCCGGCUGAGCGGUUCCGUCUUCGCAGCGUUGUGGCAUCACGUCUCGCUCUGAAGUCGGUCCCCCACGGCCGUUAAAUCACUUUAACA